Molecule: ribosomal RNA, 860 nt
Filed under: uncultured marine bacterium
Lineage: Bacteria
Description: bacterial SSU rRNA
Rfam family: Bacterial small subunit ribosomal RNA
Source: RNAcentral
AGAGUUUGAUCCUGGCUCAGAACGAACGCUGGCGGCAGGCCUAACACAUGCAAGUCGAGCGCGCGUUCGGGUGAGCGGCGGACGGGUUAGUAACGCGUGGGAACGUGCCCUUUCUCUACGGAAUAGCCUCUGGAAACGGAGAGUAAUACCGUAUACGCCCUUUGGGGGAAAGAUUUAUCGGAGAAGGAUCGGCCCGCGUUAGAUUAGGUAGUUGGUGGGGUAACGGCCUACCAAGCCUACGAUCUAUAGCUGGUUUUAGAGGAUGAUCAGCAACACUGGGACUGAGACACGGCCCAGACUCCUACGGGAGGCAGCAGUGGGGAAUCUUAGACAAUGGGGGCAACCCUGAUCUAGCCAUGCCGCGUGAGUGAUGAAGGCCUUAGGGUCGUAAAGCUCUUUCGCCUGUGAUGAUAAUGACAGUAGCAGGUAAAGAAACCCCGGCUAACUCCGUGCCAGCAGCCGCGGUAAUACGGAGGGGGUUAGCGUUGUUCGGAAUUACUGGGCGUAAAGCGCGCGUAGGCGGAUUAGAAAGUUGGGGGUGAAAUCCCGGGGCUCAACCCCGGAACUGCCUCCAAAACUGCUAGUCUAGAGUUCGAGAGAGGUGAGUGGAAUUCCGAGUGUAGAGGUGAAAUUCGUAGAUAUUCGGAGGAACACCAGUGGCGAAGGCGGCUCACUGGCUCGAUACUGACGCUGAGGUGCGAAAGUGUGGGGAGCAAACAGGAUUAGAUACCCUGGUAGUCCACACCGUAAACGAUGAAUGCCAGUCGUCGGGUAGUAUACUAUUCGGUGACACACCUAACGGAUUAAGCAUUCCGCCUGGGGAGUACGGUCGCAAGAUUAAAACUCAAAGGAAUUGACGG